This 2556-nucleotide long non-coding RNA is filed under the name Sus scrofa (pig). RNAcentral's name for it is "lncRNA (ENSSSCG00050018598.1)". Lineage: Eukaryota; Metazoa; Chordata; Mammalia; Artiodactyla; Suidae. The record is from RNAcentral.
GGAUCCCUAACCCACUGUGCAGACCAGGGAUUGACCCUGCUUCCCAGGGCUCCCAAGAUGCCACUGACCCCAAUGCGCCACAGUGAGAACUCCCACAAUGCCACAGUUGAUAGAUAGAUGGUAGCGAUUCCCGGAUAGAUACAUUCAAUUGAGGAAUGUUUUUCUUUGCAUAUUAUACGUAUGUCACUAAUUGAGUGGCUACAUAUGUGUGUGUGUGUGUGUGUGUGUGUGUGUGUGUCCCUUCUCCCCACCGUCCUGUGUCCCUUUGCCCACAGAUAGGACCUCAGCUAGUUGCAGUUUGCUGCGUGGUAGAGUGACUCCACUAAUCGUUCCUGGAGCAUCAGUGGUCCUGCCCGGUCGGGUGUCGUGGCUUUUUGUUAACUUGUGUGCAUGGGAAAGGGGACCCUUGAGGAUCCCCCAGGUCCCAGACGUAGCCCUCCCUGCUCUUGGCUGUAGAGGCCUCCCAGUCAGGCAGCCACUACCUCUCCUCUUUCGUUGCCUGUGGUCUGAGGGGCACGAGAAGCCCAAACAGCCGAGUGGAGGUUUUAGCUUCAAAGGCGAUGAAAACUGUGUGGCUUUCCUUCCCCUGAGAACUCAGGUCUCCACACCAGCAGAGGCCAGCGCUGCAGGGACGUGAAGCGAAAUUUUCCUGAGUGGGUGCGGUAGCCUGAGUCAUGACCAGCCAAAGACGCCAGGUCCGCAUCUCUGGAAUUUGGAAAAUGUCACCUUAAAAGGAAAAAGGAUUUUUGCAGACGUGAUUAGGUGAAUGACCUUGACAUGGGGAGAUUCUCCUGGGCGACUGGGGCCCUAAACCCCAUUGCCAGUGUCCCUUUAAGAAACAGGCAGGAGGAGAGCUCACACACGGAAGAGGAGGAGGAACAGUGAAGACAGAAGCAGAGGUUGGAGUAAUGGGGCCGAAGGAACACCAACGGCCACCCAGCUGGAGGAGUCACGGCACAGGUUCCUCCCUAGAGUUUUAGGAGGAGUGCAGCCCUGCUGGUACCUCGAUUUAGGCUCAGUGAGGCUGAUGCGGAACUCCUGGCCUCCAGAACUCUAGGAGAAUAAAUUCUGUUCAGUCACCAAGUAUGUAGCAAUUUGUUGUGGCAACCACAGUGAACUAAUACUGGCGGCUAGGGAGAUGCCACGCCACCUACCUUCCUUUGAUUCCUGGCGCCUUAAAUGCCGGCUGUCAAUGAGGAUGCGGCGUUCCCAUUGUGUCUCAGCGGAAAUGAAUCUGAUUAGUAUCCACGAGGACACGGGUUCGAUCCCUGGCCUCACUCAGUGGGUUAAGGAUCCAGCAUUGCUGUGAGCUGUGCAAAGGAGCGACUGCUGUAAGAUGGGGCUUUAGAAAGAGGCAGGAGUCAAGGUUUAUGAGAUCCACGAAUCUUUCCAAAGAGGCAGGGCUUACCAGUGAGGACAAUGGGGAGUCAGUCCAAGAUUUAGGAGUUUCCUGGUGGCUUGGUGGGUUGGGGAUCUGGUGACAUCACUGCCGUAGCUCUGGUUGCUGCUAUGGCAGGGCUUUGACCCCUGGCCUGGGAAUUUCUGCAUGCAGCCAGCACAGCUGGGGAAAAAAAAUCUUGACCCGGGAUCAAAUCAGGGUAGACUUGCCCUUUGGAAUAUUUUCUUUGGAGGAUGGAAGACGGAUUUGAGGGAGCAAGCCUGGCCGCAGGGAGACCAGCUAGGAGAUGCUGCAGUAACCUGAGCAGGAGAUGCUGGUAACCUAGACCCGUCCCAACCCGGCGUUUCACUAAUUGAGCAAAUGCGUGUGAAGCACCUGCUGUAUGUCAGAGCCUGGCUCAGCACAACGUACAGGAGGAUCAGAUGCAGGAGACCCAGUUAUGGCCCUGAGGUCAUCCAGCCCCUGGGGAAAACAGAUGCACCAUUAUCCAAAGCACGUGCCACUCUUUAGCUGCUAAGUUUGUCUGACUCAGCAAGGAGGGUUUGCAGGUGGCUACGGGAGUCCCCAAACUGUCAACAAAUAUGGCCUUGAUAGCAGGUAUGAUUUUAGCUUGGUGUGUCACUUAUCUAUUGCCACGUGACAGCUCACCCGACACCUUAGCAGCGUAAAACAACAGCGGUUUUACUUUGUCUUAAUUCUGCGGGUCAGCAGUUUGGGCUGCUCUCAAAUUCUGAGCGGUUCUGCUGCUCUCACCUGGAAUCGCUGAUGUGGUUGCACUCCUCCGGCCUCUUGGCUGGGACUGGUUCUGCUGAGGUGACCUCACCCACGUGUCGGGUUUGGUGCUGGCUGUCAUGCAUGGGCAGGAUGGCCCGUCUCUGCUCUGUGGGGCUUUUCACCCUCCAGAAGGUUUGACUGGGCUUCUUCACACGGCAAGGGGGCCAGAGCAGACGUGAUGUGGCCUCUUGAGGCCCUGGCUUGGAAGCUGUACCGAGCAGCCUGGGGCUGCCAUGCAGCAAGGGCUCAGCUCACCGGGAUCUGGGGGGCUCGGCUUCUGUUAUAGUUCUUACAGUCUUGCAAACCAAAGACAACCAUGCAGCGUCUUUCCCAACAUUAGCACUUGUCUCUCCUCUGCCGUCAUCCCAGCCCCUGCACAAGGC